Molecule: ribosomal RNA, 370 nt
Filed under: uncultured Anoxybacillus sp.
Lineage: Bacteria; Bacillati; Bacillota; Bacilli; Caryophanales; Anoxybacillaceae
Description: bacterial SSU rRNA
Rfam family: Bacterial small subunit ribosomal RNA
Source: RNAcentral
GUCCCCCUUCGGGGGACAGGGUGACAGGUGGUGCAUGGUUGUCGUCAGCUCGUGUCGUGAGAUGUUGGGUUAAGUCCCGCAACGAGCGCAACCCUCGACCUUAGUUGCCAGCAUUCAGUUGGGCACUCUAAGGUGACUGCCGGCUAAAAGUCGGAGGAAGGUGGGGAUGACGUCAAAUCAUCAUGCCCCUUAUGACCUGGGCUACACACGUGCUACAAUGGGCGGUACAAAGGGUCGCGAACCCGCGAGGGGGAGCCAAUCCCAAAAAGCCGCUCUCAGUUCGGAUUGCAGGCUGCAACUCGCCUGCAUGGAGCCGGAAUCGCUAGUAAUCGCGGAUCAGCACGCCGCGGUGAAUACGUUCCCGGGCCUU